Molecule: ribosomal RNA, 572 nt
Filed under: Campylobacter coli
Lineage: Bacteria; Pseudomonadati; Campylobacterota; Epsilonproteobacteria; Campylobacterales; Campylobacteraceae
Also listed under: 1 other name
Description: partial 23S ribosomal RNA
Rfam family: Bacterial large subunit ribosomal RNA
Source: RNAcentral
AAUGAGCCUGCGAGUUGUGGUGUCUGGCAAGGUUAAGCAAACGCGAAGCCGUAGCGAAAGCGAGUCUGAAUAGGGCGCUUAGUCAGAUGCUGCAGACCCGAAACGAAGUGAUCUAUCCAUGAGCAAGUUGAAGCUAGUGUAAGAACUAGUGGAGGACUGAACCCAUAGGCGUUGAAAAGCCCCGGGAUGACUUGUGGAUAGGGGUGAAAGGCCAAUCAAACUUCGUGAUAGCUGGUUCUCUCCGAAAUAUAUUUAGGUAUAGCGUUGUGUCGUAAUAUAAGGGGGUAGAGCACUGAAUGGGCUAGGGCAUACACCAAUGUACCAAACCCUAUCAAACUCCGAAUACCUUAUAUGUAAUCACAGCAGUCAGGCGGCGAGUGAUAAAAUCCGUCGUCAAGAGGGAAACAACCCAGACUACCAGCUAAGGUCCCUAAAUCUUACUUAAGUGGAAAACGAUGUGAAGUUACUUAAACAACCAGGAGGUUGGCUUAGAAGCAGCCAUCCUUUAAAGAAAGCGUAAUAGCUCACUGGUCUAGUGAUUUUGCGCGGAAAAUAUAACGGGGCUAAAGUAA